RNAcentral lists this ribosomal RNA (807 nucleotides) under uncultured bacterium. RNAcentral describes it as "bacterial SSU rRNA". It matches the Rfam family "Bacterial small subunit ribosomal RNA", at positions 636 to 1443 of the family's 1533-position model. The record is from RNAcentral.
UNUGACUUGAGUGCAGAAGGGGAGAGUGGAAUNCCAUGUGUAGCGGUGAAAUGCGUAGAUAUAUGGAGGAACACCAGUGGCGAAAGCGGCUCUCUGGUCUGUCACUGACGCUGAGGCUNGAAAGCGUGGGUAGCGAACAGGAUUAGAUACCCUGGUAGUNCACGCCGUAAACGAUGAGUGCUAGGUGUUAGGCCCUUUCCGGGGCUUAGUGCCGGAGCUAACGCAAUAAGCACUCCGCCUGGGGAGUACGACCGCAAGGUUGAAACUCAAAGGAAUUGACGGGGGCCCGCACAAGCGGUGGAGCAUGUGGUUUAAUUCGAAGCAACGCGAAGAACCUUACCAGGUCUUGACAUCCCGAUGCUAUUCUUAGAGAUAGGAAGUUACUUCGGUACAUCGGAGACAGGUGGUGCAUGGUUGUCGUCAGCUCGUGUCGUGAGAUGUUGGGUUAAGUCCCGCAACGAGCGCAACCCUUAUUGUUAGUUGCCAUCAUUAAGUUGGGCACUCUAGCGAGACUGCCGGUAAUAAACGGGAGGAAGGUGGGGAUGACGUCAAAUCAUCAUGCCCCUUAUGACCUGGGCUACACACGUGCUACAAUGGUCGGUACAACGAGUUGCGAGCCGGUGACGGCAAGCUAAUCUCUGAAAGCCGAUCUCAGUUCGGAUUGGAGGCUGCAACUCGCCUCCAUGAAGUCGGAAUCGCUAGUAAUCGCGGAUCAGCACGCCGCGGUGAAUACGUUCCCGGGCCUUGUACACACCGCCCGUCACACCACGAGAGUUUGUAACACCCGAAGUCGGUGAGGUAACCUUU